Molecule: ribosomal RNA, 253 nt
Filed under: uncultured bacterium
Lineage: Bacteria
Description: partial 16S ribosomal RNA
Rfam family: Bacterial small subunit ribosomal RNA
Source: RNAcentral
UACGAAGGGUGCAAGCGUUACUCGGAAUUACUGGGCGUAAAGCGUGCGUAGGUGGUUCGUUAAGUCUGAUGUGAAAGCCCUGGGCUCAACCUGGGAAUGGCAUUGGAAACUGGCGACCUAGAGUGCGGUAGAGGGUAGUGGAAUUCCCGGUGUAGCAGUGAAAUGCGUAGAGAUCGGGAGGAACAUCUGUGGCGAAGGCGACUGCCUGGACCAGCACUGACACUGAGGCACGAAAGCGAGUGGAGCAAACGGG